GAUGAAGAACGCAGCGAAAUGCGAUAAGUAGUGUGAAUUGCAGAAUUCAGUGAAUCAUCGAAUCUUUGAACGCACAUUGCGCCCCUUGGUAUCCCGAGGGGCAUGCCUGUUCGAGCGUCAUUUCACCACUCAAGCCUGGCUUGGUGUUGGGCGACGUCCUCUUUGGGGACGCGCCUCGAAACGCUCGGCGGCGUGGUACCGGCUUUAAGCGUAGCAGAAUCUUUCGCUUUGGAAGUCGGGGCCCCGUCUGCCGGAAGACCUGCUCGCAAGGUUGACCUCGGAUCAGGCAGGGAUACCCGCUGAACUUAAGCAUAUCAAUAAGCGGAGGA
Molecule: unclassified non-coding RNA, 329 nt
Filed under: soil metagenome
Description: partial contains 5.8S ribosomal RNA, internal transcribed spacer 2, and large subunit ribosomal RNA
Rfam family: 5.8S ribosomal RNA (bases 1-120)
Source: RNAcentral